UGGGGAAUAUUGGACAAUGGGCGCAAGCCUGAUCCAGCCACGCCGCGUGAGUGAUGAAGGCCUUCGGGUUGUAAAGCUCUGUGGGGAGGGGCGAAAACGGCCGGUAAGAAACGACCGGUCCUUGACGGUACCUCCUUAGCAAGCACCGGCUAACUCUGUGCCAGCAGCCGCGGUAAUACAGAGGGUGCGAACGUUGCUCGGAAUUACUGGGCGUAAAGCGCGUGUAGGCGGAUGGGUAAGUCAGAUGUGAAAUCCCCGGGCUCAACCCGGGAACUGCAUUUGAAACUGCUCGUCUUGAGUACCGGAGAGGGUGGCGGAAUUCCUGGUGUAGAGGUGAAAUUCGUAGAUAUCAGGAGGAACACCGGUGGCGAAGGCGGCCACCUGGACGGUAACUGACGCUGAGACGCGAAAGCGUGGGGAGCAAACAGG
Molecule: ribosomal RNA, 429 nt
Filed under: uncultured Myxococcales bacterium
Lineage: Bacteria; Pseudomonadati; Myxococcota; Myxococcia; Myxococcales
Description: bacterial SSU rRNA
Rfam family: Bacterial small subunit ribosomal RNA
Source: RNAcentral